This 1847-nucleotide ribosomal RNA is filed under the name Clostridium butyricum. Its description in RNAcentral is "partial 23S ribosomal RNA". It matches the Rfam family "Bacterial large subunit ribosomal RNA", at positions 164 to 2012 of the family's 2925-position model. Lineage: Bacteria; Bacillati; Bacillota; Clostridia; Eubacteriales; Clostridiaceae. RNAcentral also lists the same sequence under 1 other name. The record is from RNAcentral.
AUAGCAUGUCAGAAGGCAGACCCGGAGAACUGAAACAUCUUAGUACCCGGAGGAAGAGAAAGAAAAAUCGAUUCCCUGAGUAGCGGCGAGCGAAACGGGAAGAGCCCAAACCAACAAGCUUGCUUGUUGGGGUUGUAGGACACUCUAUACGGAGUUACAAAAGAACAUGUUAGACGAAUCAUCUGGAAAGAUGAAUCAAAGAAGGUAAUAAUCCUGUAGUCGAAAACAUAUUCUCUCUUGAGUGGAUCCUGAGUACGACGGAGCACGUGAAAUUCCGUCGGAAUCUGGGAGGACCAUCUCCUAAGGCUAAAUACUCUCUAGUGACCGAUAGUGAACCAGUACCGUGAGGGAAAGGUGAAAAGUACCCCGGAAGGGGAGUGAAAGAGAACUUGAAACCGUGUGCUUACAAGUAGUCAGAGCCCGUUAAUGGGUGAUGGCGUGCCUUUUGUAGAAUGAACCGGCGAGUUACGAUCUGAUGCAAGGUUAAGCAGCAAAUGUGGAGCCGCAGCGAAAGCGAGUCUGAAUAGGGCGUUGAGUAUUUGGUCGUAGACCCGAAACCAGGUGAUCUACCCUUGGUCAGGUUGAAGUUCAGGUAACACUGAAUGGAGGACCGAACCGACUUACGUUGAAAAGUGAGCGGAUGAACUGAGGGUAGCGGAGAAAUUCCAAUCGAACUUGGAGAUAGCUGGUUCUCUCCGAAAUAGCUUUAGGGCUAGCCUCAAGUGAUGAUUAUUGGAGGUAGAGCACUGUUUGGACGAGGGGCCCCUCUCGGGUUACCGAAUUCAGACAAACUCCGAAUGCCAAUUAAUUUAACUUGGGAGUCAGAACAUGGGUGAUAAGGUCCGUGUUCGAAAGGGAAACAGCCCAGACCACCAGCUAAGGUCCCAAAAUAUAUGUUAAGUGGAAAAGGAUGUGGCGUUGCCCAGACAACUAGGAUGUUGGCUUAGAAGCAGCCAUCAUUUAAAGAGUGCGUAAUAGCUCACUAGUCGAGUGACACUGCGCCGAAAAUGUACCGGGGCUAAACAUAUUACCGAAGCUGUGGAUUGUCCUUUGGACAAUGGUAGGAGAGCGUUCUAAGGGCGUCGAAGCAUGAUCGCAAGGACAUGUGGAGCGCUUAGAAGUGAGAAUGCCGGUGUGAGUAGCGAAAGACGGGUGAGAAUCCCGUCCACCGAUUGACUAAGGUUUCCAGAGGAAGGCUCGUCCGCUCUGGGUUAGUCGGGUCCUAAGCUGAGGCCGACAGGCGUAGGCGAUGGAUAACAGGUUGAUAUUCCUGUACCACCUAGUAUCGUUUUAAUCGAUGGGGGGACGCAGUAGGAUAGGCGAAGCGUGCUGUUGGAGUGCACGUCCAAGCAGUAAGGCUGAGUGUUAGGCAAAUCCGGCACUCAUAAGGCUGAGCUGUGAUGGGGAGAGGAAAUUGUUUCCUCGAGUCGUUGAUUUCACACUGCCGAGAAAAGCCUCUAGAUAGAUAACAGGUGCCCGUACCGCAAACCGACACAGGUAGUCAAGAUGAGAAUUCUAAGGUGAGCGAGCGAACUCUCGUUAAGGAACUCGGCAAAAUGACCCCGUAACUUCGGGAGAAGGGGUGCUCUUUAGGGUUCACGCCCAGAAGAGCCGCAGUGAAUAGGCCCAAGCGACUGUUUAUCAAAAACACAGGUCUCUGCUAAACCGUAAGGUGAUGUAUAGGGGCUGACGCCUGCCCGGUGCUGGAAGGUUAAGAGGAGUGGUUAGCUUCUGCGAAGCUACGAAUCGAAGCCCCAGUAAACGGCGGCCGUAACUAUAACGGUCCUAAGGUAGCGAAAUUCCUUGUCGGGUAAGUUCCGACCCGCACGAAAGGCGUAACGAUUUGG